RNAcentral lists this ribosomal RNA (491 nucleotides) under uncultured bacterium. RNAcentral describes it as "partial 16S ribosomal RNA". It matches the Rfam family "Bacterial small subunit ribosomal RNA", at positions 29 to 506 of the family's 1533-position model. The record is from RNAcentral.
AGUGAACGCUGGCGGUAGGCCUAACACAUGCAAGUCGAACGGCAGCACAGUAAGAGCUUGCUCUUACGGGUGGCGAGUGGCGGACGGGUGAGGAAUACAUCGGAAUCUACUUUUUCGUGGGGGAUAACGUAGGGAAACUUACGCUAAUACCGCAUACGACCUACGGGUGAAAGCAGGGGAUCUUCGGACCUUGCGCGAUUGAAUGAGCCGAUGUCGGAUUAGCUAGUUGGCGGGGUAAAGGCCCACCAAGGCGACAAUCCGUAGCUGGUCUGAGAGGAUGAUCAGCCACACUGGAGCUGAGACACGGUCCAGACUCCUACGGGAGGCAGCAGUGGGGAAUAUUGGACAAUGGGCGCAAGCCUGAUCCAGCCAUACCGCGUGGGUGAAGAAGGCCUUCGGGUUGUAAAGCCCUUUUGUUGGGAAAGAAAAGCAGCAGGUUAAUACCCCGCUGUUCUGACGGUACCCAAAGAAUAAGCACCGGCUAACUUCGU